GUUUGAUCAUGGCUCAGAUUGAACGCUGGCGGGAUGCUUUACACACAUGCAAGUCGAACGGCAGCACGGACUUCGGUCUGGUGGCGAGUGGCGAACAGGUGGUAAUGUAUCGGAACGUGCCCUAGUAGCGGGAGAUAACUGCGCGAAAGCGUAGCUAAUACCGCAUACGCCCUUCGAGGAAAGCGGGGGACCUUCGGGCCUCGCACUAUUAGAACGGCCGAUAUCGGAUUAGCUAGUUGGUGAGAUAACGGCUCGCAAGGCGACGAUCCGUAGCUGGUUUGAGGAGGACGACCAGCCACACUGGGAUUCGAGACACGGCCCAGACUCCUACGGGAGGCAGCAGUGGGGAAUUUUGGACAAUGGGGAAACCCUGAUCCAGCCAUCCCGCGUGUGCGAUGAAGGCCUUCGGGUUGUAACACUUUUGGCAAGAAAAACGGCACGGGAUAAUACCCCGUGCAACUGACAGCCUGCAGAAUAAGCACCGGCUAACUACGUGCCAGCAGCCGCGGUAAUACGUAGGAGUGCAAGCGUUAAUCAGAAUGCCUGGGCGUAAAGCGUGCGCAGGCGGUUCGGAAAGAAAGAUGUGAAAUCCCAGAGCUUAACUUUGGAACUGCAUUUUUAACUACCGAGCUAGAGUGUGUCAGAGGAGGUGGAAUUCCGCGUGUAGCGGUGAAAUGCGUAGAUAUGCGGAGGAACGCGAUGGCGAAGGCAGCCUCCUGGGGAUGCUUACUGACGCUCAUGCACGAAAAGCGUGAGGCAAACAGGAUUAGAUACCCUGGUAGUCCACGCCCUAAACGAUGUCAACUAGCUGUUGGGGCCUUCAGGCCUUGGUAGCGCAGCUAACGCGCGUGAAGUUGACCGCCUGGGAAAUGCAGUCGCAGAUUAAAACUCAAAGGAAUUGACGGGGACCCACACAAUGGUGGAUGAUGUGGAUUAAUUCGAUGCAACGCGAAAACCUUACCUACCCUUGACAUAUCUGGAAUCCCGAAGAUUUGAAGAGUGCUCGCAAGAGAACCGGAACACAGGUGCUGCAUGGCUGUAUGUCCAGCUCGUGUCGUGAGAUGUUGGGUUAAGUCCCGCAACAGGCGCAACCCUUGUCGACUAGUUGCUACGAAAGAGGCACUCUAAUGAGACUGCGGUGAUGGCUCAGCGGAGAAGGUGGGGAUGACGUCAAGUCCUCAUGGCCCAUAUGGUGAGGCUUCACACGAUAUUACAAUGGUCGGGACAGAGGUUAACAACCCACCCAGGGAGCCAAUCCCAGAAACCCGAUCGUAGUCCGGAUCAUGAUCUGCAACUCGACUGCGUGAAGUCGGAAUCGCUAGUAAUCGCGGAUCAGCAUGUCGCGGUGAAGAUACGUUCCCGGGUCUUCUUUUGCCAACAUCACACCAUGAGUGGGUUUUACCAGAAGUAAGUUAGCCUAACCGUAAGGAGGGCGAUUGCUACAUUAGGAUUCAUGGCUGGAGGUGAAAUUCCGUAAUAGAUAG
Molecule: ribosomal RNA, 1484 nt
Filed under: uncultured Bordetella sp.
Lineage: Bacteria; Pseudomonadati; Pseudomonadota; Betaproteobacteria; Burkholderiales; Alcaligenaceae
Description: partial 16S-23S ribosomal RNA intergenic spacer
Rfam family: Bacterial small subunit ribosomal RNA
Source: RNAcentral